RNAcentral lists this ribosomal RNA (253 nucleotides) under uncultured bacterium. Its description in RNAcentral is "partial 16S ribosomal RNA". It matches the Rfam family "Bacterial small subunit ribosomal RNA", at positions 524 to 776 of the family's 1533-position model. The record is from RNAcentral.
UACAGAGGGUGCAAGCGUUAAUCGGAAUUACUGGGCGUAAAGGGCGCGUAGGUGGAUAUAUAAGUCGGAUGUGAAAGACCUGGGCUUAACCCGGGAAAGUCAUUUGAUACUGUAUAUCUUGAGUGAGGCAGAGGGUAGCGGAAUUUCCGGUGUAGCGGUGAAAUGCGUAGAUAUCGGAAGGAACACCAGUGGCGAAGGCGGCUACCUGGGCUUUAACUGACACUGAUGCGCGAAAGCGUGGGGAGCGAACAGG